GUAGGGUGCGAGCGUUAAUCGGAAUUACUGGGCGUAAAGCGUGCGCAGGCGGUGAUGUAAGACAGGUGUGAAAUCCCCGGGCUUAACCUGGGAACUGCAUUUGUGACUGCAUCGCUGGAGUGCGGCAGAGGGGGAUGGAAUUCCGCGUGUAGCAGUAAAAUGCGUAGAUAUGCGGAGGAACACCGAUGGCGAAGGCAAUCCCCUGGGCCUGCACUGACGCUCAUGCACGAAAGCGUGGGGAGCAAACAGGAUUAGAUACCCUGGUAGUCCACGCCCUAAACGAUGUCAACUGGUUGUUGGUCCUUCACUGGAUCAGUAACGAAGCUAACGCGUGAAGUUGACCGCCUGGGGAGUACGGCCGCAAGGUUG
RNAcentral lists this ribosomal RNA (369 nucleotides) under uncultured bacterium. RNAcentral's name for it is "bacterial SSU rRNA". It matches the Rfam family "Bacterial small subunit ribosomal RNA", at positions 527 to 896 of the family's 1533-position model. The record is from RNAcentral.